GAGGGGCUUGGAGUCCCAGCAGGAACAAAAGAAAACUAAUAUUUGCAAAUCCAUCGGCGCGUUAUCUGCUAGUUUUCAUCUGUCCAUAGUGUUCAAAGUAUUUUUCUUGGCAAGUUGCUGCUUCUCCUUUAAGGAAUGAUGUACGUUUUUCUACCGACUUCUGGCCACGGCCGCACCACUCCCACUCUCUCUUCAUUCCUCCUCCGUUGUGCUCCAACUGUCAAGAAGGCUAUGGCCGGAGUUCACAGCUACCAUCCGUCGCCUCCUCUCCCCGGGCCGCUCCACCGGAGGGGAGAUUUCCGGCGCCUAUCUAGGAUUUCGGCGGGAUCCAAAGAAUCCCCCUCUUCGAUGCCCUCCCUCUCCACUGCCACCAGCGGAGAAGAGGAAGAGAAGUCGGUUGCUUCCGCUCCAAGCCCGACGCUCUCACCGCCGAUGGGCUUCAAGAUUCCGGAUCCGAAGCCCUACUCCGUCCGGCGGGAUAAGAAUCUCGACAUCGUGACGGCUGCUCUUCCCUUGCUCUUCCGCCUGGGCACCGGACUCUUUGUUCUAGGAUAUUCAGCAACUCUUGUGUCAGAUGAUGAUAUCCCAUCAAAUCAAUAUGCUAUGAAGGUUAGAGGUUCAAAGUUGAAAGAGACCUCAAAAUUGGGCCCCCGUCCACAGAAGCCCAUUGAGAUUUAUGAAUUUGAAAGCUGUCCAUAUUGUCGGAAGGUGAGGGAGAUUGUUAGCAUAUUGGACCUUGAUGUCUUGUUUUAUCCUUGCCCAAGAAGCGGUCCAACUUUUCGUCUGAAAGUUUUGCAAAUGGGUGGAAAGCAACAAUUUCCAUACAUGGUGGAUCCAAACACUGGUGUUGCUAUGUACGAAUCUGAUGACAUUAUAAAGUAUCUUGUUGAUAAAUAUGGCGAUGGGACCAUUCCUCUGAUGUUGUCACUUGGUCCAAUUACUACUCUAACUGCAAUGCUCGCACUCAUUUUUCGCUUGGGAAAGGGAUCUUCAUAUACUCCUUCAAAACAACCACCAGUGCCCCUUGAGCUAUGGGCGUUUGAGUUAUCUCCUUUUUGCAAAAUUGUGCGUGAAGUUCUUGUUGAGUUAGAACUACCCCACCUACUUCACAGUAUUGCUCGUGGGAGCCCAAAACGGCAUGAGUUUUAUCAGAAAAUUGGACAUUUUCAGGUCCCUUAUCUAGAAGACCCCAACACUGGGGUGAAAAUGUUUGAAAGCGCAGAAAUUAUUGAGUAUCUGAAAGCAACAUAUGCUCUUUAAGAAGCAGAGCACCCCUGGCUUUUGAGGUUUUUCACUCUUCCAUCUACAAAUUCAUGUGCAAUCCGUAGGUCAUAUGUUACUUCUGUUAUCUUUCUCCACUUUUUGUAAGAUUAUAUGCCUGAUUUAGGUUCAUAUGCGAUAAAUAUAAUAUCCCUUUAUCUUUUUUACUUGAGUGAAUUUUUAAGAAUCUGUAUUUUAGCGAACAACACCUCCUUUAAAGUUUCUCCUUGUCAUGCAUAAAAUUGUGUAACGAGAAGAGUUGCAUGAGAUGUUUGUUUACUACAGAUGUAGAGAAUGUACUUUUUUGUGUAUACAAACCUGCAAUAUGAUAAUUUCCGAUGUGAUUUUGACCUAGGCAUUUAGUUUGUUCAGGCAAGGUUGUAGGAGUAAAGUUGAAAAGGGUUUGAGCUCCAGGAAAUUGAAAGCUACUUAUGAGACACCUCCUGAAAUUUGACUUGAAGAGUUGCUGAUCACCACAACAAAGUCUGGAAUAAGGCUUGGUUUUUUAAAAAAAGGAAAUGGUAGAACAUAUUAGUUCGAGAAGUCAAUAUGAACUUUUUCUUUUUUUGCAAGGGACUGAGUUUCUGCAGGUGUGAUCUUGGAAAAAUAAGUGGUAAAUAAGGAAAAGGUGUUGCAAUAUAUGAAGAUUUGACACGGACGCCAUUCCAGAGCAAAGCAAAUUGAAGAAGGAAUAUGUUGGCAAUUGUGGCUUUCUCCCAUCUCCAUUGGCUACAUCUUGCGAUUCUGAACGACAACAGUUUUGCCUCCUACUAUGAUAUGACAUCAUGGAGGAUCAAACAGUAGUGCUGAUCUUCAUAUUACAAUUUCGAGGAAGGCUAUCUUGAUAGAAAUUUGUGGAUCAUUUUCCCGUUUCGUAUAUUUGUUCCUUGUGCCUAGGUAACAAGAGACCGCACUAGUUUAGGUUUUUCUAUUGUCGGUUAUUGUACCUUUUCCUUGUCUAGGUUUCUUAUCAUGGCAUUACAGCUAGAUCUUCACCCGUUGUGUUUGGAAUCACAACUUUUUAAUGUACAACAAAUAUAUUUCAUUUAUU
This is a non-coding RNA of Phoenix dactylifera (date palm), 2311 nucleotides long. The record is from RefSeq and is a predicted model, not a curated record. NCBI's taxonomy places the organism in Eukaryota, Viridiplantae, Streptophyta, Magnoliopsida, Arecales, Arecaceae.